GGGCGUGUAGCUCAGUGGGAGAGCGCUGCCCUUACAAGGCAGAUGUCGUAGGUUCAAUCCCUACCACGCCCACCA
Molecule: transfer RNA, 75 nt
Filed under: Halobacteriovorax sp.
Lineage: Bacteria; Pseudomonadati; Bdellovibrionota; Bacteriovoracia; Bacteriovoracales; Halobacteriovoraceae
Description: tRNA-Val
Rfam family: tRNA
About the family: Transfer RNA (tRNA) molecules are approximately 80 nucleotides in length. Their secondary structure includes four short double-helical elements and three loops (D, anti-codon, and T loops).
Source: RNAcentral